GAUGAACGCUGGCGGCGUGCUUAACACAUGCAAGUCGAACGGUGAAGCCCUGCUUGCUUGGUGUGUUCGAGUCGAACACGUGUGUGUAACGUGAGUAUCCUCCCCUCAACUCUGUGGUAUACCUUCGGAACACUGGCUCUUAUCCCAGAUAGGCGCCCACCCCGUAUUGUGUGUUGGGGAGAUUUUGCGGUUUUGGAUGGGCUCGCGGCUUAUCAGCUUGUUGGUGGGGUAAUGGCUCACCAAGGCGCCGACGGGUAGCCGGCCUGAGAGGGUGACCGGCCACACUGGGACUGAGAUACGGCCCAGACUCCUACGGGAGGCAGCAGUGGGGAAUAUUGCACAAUGGGCGGAAGCCUGAUGCAGCGACGCCGCGUGAGGGAUGACGGCCUUCGGGUUGUAAACCGCUUUCGGUAGGGAAGAAGCGAAAGUGACGGUACCUGCAGAAGAAGCACCGGCUAACUACGUG
This 466-nucleotide ribosomal RNA is filed under the name uncultured bacterium. RNAcentral's name for it is "partial 16S ribosomal RNA". It matches the Rfam family "Bacterial small subunit ribosomal RNA", at positions 28 to 507 of the family's 1533-position model. The record is from RNAcentral.